AGUGAACGCUGGCGGUAGGCCUAACACAUGCAAGUCGAACGGCAGCACAGUAAGAGCUUGCUCUUACGGGUGGCGAGUGGCGGACGGGUGAGGAAUACAUCGGAAUCUACUUUUUCGUGGGGGAUAACGUAGGGAAACUUACGCUAAUACCGCAUACGACCUACGGGUGAAAGCAGGGGAUCUUCGGACCUUUCGCGAUUGAAUGAGCCGCUGUGGGAUUGGCUGGUUGGCGGGGUAAAGGCCCACCAAGGCGACGAUCCGUAGCUGGUGGGAGAGGAUGGUCGGCCGCACUGGAACUGAGCCACGGUCAUGACUCCUGCGGGAGGCAGCAGACGCGAAUAUUGGACAGUGGGCGCGAGCCUGGUCCAGCGAUCCCGCGUGGGUGAAGGAGGCCUUCGGGUUGUAAAGCCCUUUUGUUGGGAGUGAAAAGCAGCAGGUUAAUACCCCGCUGUUCUGACGGUACCCAAAGAAUAAGCACCGGCUAACUUCGUG
This 492-nucleotide ribosomal RNA is filed under the name uncultured bacterium. RNAcentral's name for it is "partial 16S ribosomal RNA". It matches the Rfam family "Bacterial small subunit ribosomal RNA", at positions 29 to 507 of the family's 1533-position model. The record is from RNAcentral.